AGUCGAGGAUCUUCGGCAAUGGGCGCAAGCCUGACCGAGCGACGCCGCGUGUGCGACGAAGGCCUUCGGGUUGUAAAGCACUGUCGAGGGGGAGAAAACCGCAAGGUUGAUCUAUCCCUGGAGGAAGCACGGGCUAAGUUCGUGCCAGCAGCCGCGGUAAGACGAACCGUGCGAACGUUGUUCGGAAUCACUGGGCUUAAAGGGCGCGUAGGCGGGCUGUCAAGUCCGGGGUGAAAUCCUCCCGCUCAACGGGAGAACGGCCUCGGAUACUGACGGCCUCGAGGGAGAUAGGGGCACGCGGAACUGUGGGUGGAGCGGUGAAAUGCGUUGAUAUCCAUAGGAACUCCGGUGGCGAAGGCGGCGUGCUGGAUCUCUUCUGACGCUGAGGCGCGAAAGCCAGGGGAGCAAA
RNAcentral lists this ribosomal RNA (409 nucleotides) under uncultured Gemmata sp. Its description in RNAcentral is "bacterial SSU rRNA". It matches the Rfam family "Bacterial small subunit ribosomal RNA", at positions 353 to 772 of the family's 1533-position model. The record is from RNAcentral. Lineage: Bacteria; Pseudomonadati; Planctomycetota; Planctomycetia; Gemmatales; Gemmataceae.